GCAGCUGCAACCAAAACAUAUUCAUUUACUUCAUUGGUUGUCUCUAUCUUAUCACUUCAUUCAAGUAAACAUAAUGUUUUGCAAUGUCUGAUGGUGAUCUUUCAGCCUGCAGCAGCAGCAACAUUGCUGAUGGUCGGAGCAAUGAAUUGCCCGUUCUGUACGCUUCAAAGAUGAGUCAUAGUUGAAUUGCUGUUGCAGCAGAAACCAAGAUUGCCUAGGAUGCUGGAGCACUUUCAAUUGUAAUUCACCAUGGAACACCUCACAUGCCUGACACAUCCCUUCUCAAGGAAAUCAGGGAGGCAGUCUCCAUUCCUGUAAUGACAAGAAUUCAGGUUGGCCAUUUUCUCGAAGCAUAGAUAUUUGAAGCAUCUGCCGCAGAUUACCUUGACAAGAAAGAACUUCUUAGUAGUGUUGAUACUGAUAACCACAUUAACAAACAUAACUUCAGCCUUCCAUUUUCUUGUGCAUGUCGAAAUUUCUAAGAUGCAAUGAUGAGGGUGAAAGAACGUGCAGACACAUGAUAGAUGCAGGGAGGUCUAUCAAAUUCAAGGUUUGCAACAUCAGGCAGCAUUGCUGAGACCAUUCGGAUUGCGAGGUCUGUGACAAAGAAGACAGAGUUUGAUAAACAUGGAUGAAGAAGAGAUUCUUGCGUUUGCAAAGGAAGCAACAGUGACUUAUGAUCUGAUAGUACAAACCAAGCAAAUGGGAAGGCUUCCUGUUGUACAAUUUGCUGCAGGAGGCAUUAGCACUAUUGCUGAUGCU
RNAcentral lists this long non-coding RNA (762 nucleotides) under Carica papaya (papaya). Its description in RNAcentral is "long non-coding RNA (CPAP_LNC016448)". The record is from RNAcentral. Lineage: Eukaryota; Viridiplantae; Streptophyta; Magnoliopsida; Brassicales; Caricaceae.